This 257-nucleotide long non-coding RNA is filed under the name Amborella trichopoda. Its description in RNAcentral is "long non-coding RNA (ATRI_LNC003052)". Lineage: Eukaryota; Viridiplantae; Streptophyta; Magnoliopsida; Amborellales; Amborellaceae. The record is from RNAcentral.
GGAGCGACCUUAUUGGAGCUUUGAGACCCUGCCUGGUAUAACAUGCACAUAAGCAUGCUUAGCCCUCUAAUCAUUUCGUAUGGACUUCACCUGCAAGGUUUCAUCUUCAUCCUUCAAUGGUCAACUACAUGCAGCAUAGAAUGAAACUAGCAUGAGAGAGAGAGAACAAAUGAUAUUCAACUAUGGUUAUCUAUACCAACAGCAUGAUAAGAGAGCAGUGAAGAAAGGCAUCAGAUUAUGCAAACACACAAACACAA